This is a non-coding RNA of Styela clava, 852 nucleotides long. NCBI's taxonomy places the organism in Eukaryota, Metazoa, Chordata, Ascidiacea, Stolidobranchia, Styelidae. The record is from RefSeq and is a predicted model, not a curated record.
UUUUGUUUCUAAAGUAUAACUUUUUACGCCACACAUGCGAGAUGCGACAUGGCCCGCCAGUCUAGGUGCGCAAAAUUUUUGCACGUGGUCCGAGAACUUUGCUCAACGCUGCUCUAGUUCAUAUUUUAAGCUUUGUUGAGGAAUAAAUUACUGAUUUUUGAAUAAUAUCUAUUUUGUUUUAAAAUUCAAUAGAAUUAUAUUGGGUAAUCAUAUAUAUUAAUAUGAUUUAUUUUCAGUAUGUAUACUAUGUAAGCUUACCCAACCAACCUUAAUUAAGGGUUAUUAUAUUUUAAAGUGAAUUAGAAGGUAGACCGCUAGCAAAAAAGAUUCGGGCGAUUGGGGGGAAGCCCAUCUCUGUACAAUGACUGCCAAAUGUGCAUGCAACUGUGCAAUGCCCAGCGACUCUAAAAGCAUGAAGUAUUGCCCUAUGACAAUGGACUGGAAAAUUCACCUGCUUCAAUUCCCUCUUUCACGCAAUCAUACACUGUGUCAUUUCAAGCAUCUCAAUGUUUCAAUGCGGACAUUGCCCAAAACAGAUAAGAUAUUUGCGAAGUCUUGGAGAUUGCUCCAAGAAAGACUGGAUUGGAGAAUCAUGAGCUCAGUUAUAACAAAUUUACUCGCCCGCUCUUCCAACUGUGCAGGACGCGGUGGAUAAGAAGGAGUGAGUGGGACGCCCUUAGUUUUUUGCUAUUAAAGGUACCGCUCUGGAUGAUCUGGCAACGAACUCCGAUUAAUUUUAUUACAUGUAUACAUAUUUGUAAAAUAAAGACAUUUUGUUAUCUUUUGUUUUUUAUUAUAUACAUAAUGUUAGAUUAGUGGGAAAUUUCUAUGUAGUAUAGAUCCAUACCCUGU